GUUGCUGCAGUCCUUUGGGUUCUAUCAUCAUAAUUUGUCAAAGGGACAGUGAAAAGAAGUUGAUGGAGAAAACUGUAAUCCAGGGGCGUUCAGUUUGCAGGCUAAGAAACUGAAAGAUGUGGUGAGAGAACUGACCCAGGCUGGAAAACAACAGAUGAUAAAGAAGAUUUGGAUAGAUGCAAGACAGAUGGCCAACUUUUUGUCAAAGAUGCAAGACAGAUGCCCCUCUCCUGGCAGGAUGGCAUAUUGAGAACUGAAUCAUACAGAAGGGAAAUAAAGCUCUAAAACUAAU
Molecule: long non-coding RNA, 292 nt
Organism: Sceloporus undulatus (fence lizard)
Lineage: Eukaryota; Metazoa; Chordata; Lepidosauria; Squamata; Phrynosomatidae
Exons: 3
Source: RefSeq, a predicted model, not a curated record